UUCCUCUGUAGCUCAGUCGGUAGAGCGGGUGGCUGUUAACCACUAGGUCGGCGGUUCGAGCCCGUCCGGAGGAGA
RNAcentral lists this transfer RNA (75 nucleotides) under Spirochaetes bacterium ADurb.Bin133. RNAcentral's name for it is "tRNA-Asn". It matches the Rfam family "tRNA". From Rfam's summary of the family: Transfer RNA (tRNA) molecules are approximately 80 nucleotides in length. Their secondary structure includes four short double-helical elements and three loops (D, anti-codon, and T loops). Lineage: Bacteria; Pseudomonadati; Spirochaetota. The record is from RNAcentral.